GGAUCCUCUUGAGUUGGAUCACGAAGAGAAAAUAUUGCUUUUUGACGAAACGCGGCAUUAUCAUCAAAGUUUAGCUUAGCAUCAGCAGCCACCAACUGAUUUUCUGAAGUCUCCGCAAUGGGAUUUACUUCCAGUAAUGUGCAGUCACAUUCACAGAAGAGUUUAUACAAUUUUUUCACUUGUUCAAUUGAAUCCUUUCUGUCAGCACCCUUGGGAGCCAAACCAUCCACAACCUUCGCACCAUCUUCAUCAGUAAUUCCUUGGAAAACAUCAAUAGGUACCUUUAUAAUCAUAUCUGGGAAGUUCUCAGCAAGAUCUUCGAUGCUAGUUCCACCCUUUCUACAGGCAAUUAUAAGUGGACCAGCAGUUUUACGAUCCAGAGUGAUAGCGAAGUACAUUUCGUUGAUAAGUGACAACUUCUCACACAGAUAAACCUUACUGACAACUUUGCCCUGGGGACCAGUUUGUUUAGUGACAAGUAUCUGCCCGAGCAUCUUUCCAGCAAUCUCUUCAACCUGGUCCACCUUCACUAUGUGCACUCCACCCUUUAAGCCGCUUUUGAACGUUCCCAAACCUCUUCCACCAGCCAAAAUUUGACUUUUAACGACCAACUCUUUCGCAUCAGGAAAAACAGUUUGCACAGCGUUUUUGGCUUCAUCAACAGAAGAAACAGCAACACCCUUUGGC
RNAcentral lists this unclassified non-coding RNA (687 nucleotides) under Hevea brasiliensis (rubber tree). Lineage: Eukaryota; Viridiplantae; Streptophyta; Magnoliopsida; Malpighiales; Euphorbiaceae. The record is from RNAcentral.